Molecule: microRNA precursor, 161 nt
Filed under: Oryza brachyantha (malo sina)
Lineage: Eukaryota; Viridiplantae; Streptophyta; Magnoliopsida; Poales; Poaceae
Description: MIR812 microRNA precursor family
Rfam family: MIR812 microRNA precursor family
Source: Rfam by way of RNAcentral
UCUGAUUUUGAUUUUUUGUUUUAUUUAAAUUUUUUAUGAUAAUAUUUUUAUUUUUACUGGAUGAUAAAACAUAAAUAGUAUUUUAUGCGUGACUAUUUUUUUAUGUUUUUUUACAAAAUUUUCAAAUAAGACGAAUAGUCAAACGUUGGAUACGGAAAAAC